UGCGUAACACGUGAGCGACCUGCCCUUCCGGCGGGGGAUAGCCGGGCCAACGCCCGGGUAAUACCGCAUACGUUUCCCUGGGGGGCAUCCUUGGGGAAAGAAACUUCCGGGGCGGAGGGAGGGGCUCGCGGCCUAUCAGCUAGUUGGGGGGGUAACGGGCCUCCCAAGGCGACGACGGGUAGCUGGUCUGAGAGGAUGGCCAGCCACAUUGGGACUGAGAGACGGCCCAG
This 230-nucleotide ribosomal RNA is filed under the name uncultured bacterium. RNAcentral's name for it is "partial 16S ribosomal RNA". It matches the Rfam family "Bacterial small subunit ribosomal RNA", at positions 107 to 334 of the family's 1533-position model. The record is from RNAcentral.